GCCGUGAUCGUAUAGUUGGUUUGGGCAUUGCGUUGUGGCCGCAAAAACCCAGGUUCGAAUCCUGGUCACGGCA
RNAcentral lists this transfer RNA (73 nucleotides) under Penaeus monodon (black tiger shrimp). RNAcentral describes it as "tRNA-His". It matches the Rfam family "tRNA". Rfam says of the family: Transfer RNA (tRNA) molecules are approximately 80 nucleotides in length. Their secondary structure includes four short double-helical elements and three loops (D, anti-codon, and T loops). Lineage: Eukaryota; Metazoa; Arthropoda; Malacostraca; Decapoda; Penaeidae. The record is from RNAcentral.